UGUAUCUCCAAAGGGCAGCAUCAAAGUGACAGCCAGUACCAUCUCCAGCAGGGGCUGAGUUGCUGGGGUGGAGGAGAGAACCACAGUCCCAGCCUUGCACACUUCCAUGGGGCCGGCCAAACCCCCAAGAGAAUGGCAGCCUGGGUGUCUGAGCCAGCACCUGGGCAGCCUGUGAGCACAGGGUGAAGCCUGAGCGCUCGAAUGGCCAACGCCACAGGGCUGAACGCACCAGAAGUCGCAGCCUCGAUGGGGUUGAUCCUGGCGGCUGUCGUGGAGGCGGCAGCACUGCUGGGCAACGGCGCACUGCUGGUUGUGGUGCUGCGCACGCCGGGACUACGCGACGCGCUCUACCUCGUGCACCUGUGCGUAGUGGACCUGCUGGCUGCCGGCUCCAUCAUGCCGCUGGGCCUGCUGGCCGCUCCGCCGCCGGGGCUGGGCCGCGUGCGCCUGGGCCCCGCGCCCUGCCGCGCGGCACGCUUCCUCUCGGCGGCGCUGCUGCCCGCCUGUACGCUCGGCGUGGCGGCGCUCGGCCUGGCGCGCUACCGCCUCAUAGUGCACCCGCUGCGGCCCGGCGCACGGCCUCCGCCCACCCUCGUGCUCACCGCCGUGUGGGCGGCGGCGGGGCUGCUGGGCGCGCUCUCCUUGCUCGGGCCGCCGCCCGCACCGCCCCCUGCCCCGGCUCGCUGCUCUGUCCUGGCAGGGGGCCUCGAGCCCUUCCGGCCGCUCUGGGCGCUGCUGGCCUUCGCGCUGCCCGCCCUCCUGCUGCUCGGAGCGUACGGCGGCAUCUUCCUCGUGGCGCGCCGCGCUGCCCUGCGGCCCCCGCGGCCCGCGCGCGGGUCCCGGCCGCGCUCCGACUCUCUGGACAGCCGCCUCUCCAUUUUGCCGCCCCUUCGGCCUCGCCCGCCCUGGGGCAAAGCAGCCCUGGCCCCGGCGCUGGCCGUGGGCCAGUUCGCAGCCUGCUGGCUGCCUUACGGCUGUGCGUGCUUAGCGCCCGCUGCCCAGGCCGCCGCGGCCGAGGCGGCCGUCACCUGGGUAGCCUACUCGGCCUUCGCGGCUCACCCCUUCCUGUACGGCCUGCUGCAGCGCCCUGUACGCCGGACGCUGGGCCGUCUCGCCCGACGAGCGCUACCCCGGCCCCCGCGGGCCUGCACUUCGCGGGCCUGGCACCCGCGGGCCCUCCUGCAGCACCUCCAUAGACCUCCAGAGGGCCCUGUCCUAGGCCCUUCUGAGGCUCCAGAACAAGCCCGGGAUUUGGCAGGAAGGGAGAGCCUGAGCAUGCCAGAGGCCACGUGAGAGAUGUCUCCCAAGGUGAGCCGGGACUGGAGAAAGCAGGGUGGUAUCACAAAGGGCCCAUCCAGCCUCCAGCACAGCUUAUGGCAGGUAGCCUGCCUGCACUUCUGGCUCUGGAAUGGGAGAAAGGGGACCUGCAGCCAAGUGAAGCCCAGAGGCUUCUGGGAGCUAGGAAUCCUGAGUUCUGGGCCCAACUCUGCAUGGCCUUGUACACAGACCUACCCUUCACUAGGUAUCAGUUUUCCCAUCUGUACCCUGGACCAUCUCUAAGGGCUUCUCCAGCUUGGGUGAUCUGGACACUCAUGGGUGAUCCCCAGGCCAAGGAAGAAGCAGAGGUGGGCAGGAUCACAGAAGGCCCUAAUGGCUCACAGCCAAAGGGAAUGGGCCAAGUAGGGCAGGGUCUGGGUUACAGCCACAGCAGGAGGAACCAGUGAAGGGACAUUCAGAAAGACCUCCUGCACAUCUGCACCAAGGAGAGGCUGGACAAAACUACUGGAACUCCUCCAUCAGCUUCUAAAAAUGCCCAGAAAACAACUGGAUCGCUUUGGUGCCAGAGGCAGGAGGCUGGACAACAUGACCCCCCAAAGAGCCCUGAAGCCCCAGAACUGGCAUGUGGAAGGGGCCGAGGCCCAGCUGGGGCUGAUGGAGUCACAGAUGGGGGUCCUCUGGGGUCUCAGCUACACCCGUUUUCUGGAGGUUUUGCCAAUACCCACAGUGUUUCACAGCUUCCUGGUCUCUCAGAAUAUUUAUUCAAAAACAGGAAUUGAAAAAACUGUACAGAGUGUCUGCUGCUGAGAACUCGGCCCCUGCCCCCAUGCCACUCCCCCAGCUGCCUGGCAGUGCCCCCUCUUCGGGCUGCCCUCUGCCAAGCCCAGCCAGUCCAUUCCAGUCAAAAGGGUAUCAGUGGAAGCAGCAGGAAUCUGCAGGGAGGUGGGGAGAGAAGCAUGGCCCCCAGCCGCCCCCAGGCCUCCUCCCUGAUCCCCACAGGGGGACAGGAGGCAGGGAAGCCCUGAGGGAUGGGGAGUGCAUGAGUGACCCCCGCAAAGUGGGGGCACUUAGGAUGCUCCCUGCAUCCAAGCACAGAGCUAGAGGGGAUCAAGACCCCUACCCUGGGGCUGCUGCAGCUCCCAGAACCCUGGGCCAAAAACAGCCCCCACUCCGAGAGCAGGAACUCCCACAGACCGGGGCAGGGUGGGGGGGUGCAUCCAUGCGUCUGGGCAUUAGCGGCGUUUGGGACCGCCCCCCCCCCCGGGGGUGGAGUCUCCUUGGGCAGAUAGUGGAGGCAGCCCCCUGCCGGCAGUCCUGCCUGCUCCCGUGCCUGUGCCUCAGCUGGCCUCAGUAGGGGGAGAAUUUCUGCCGCUCAGCUUUCUUGCUCCCAUUGGCCGCUGCCAUCUUGGCAGUGUAGGCCGCCAAGCCCGGCGGUGGCCCUGGGGAGGCAGGUGGUAGAGCCAAGAAGGGUACAGGCUUGAGGCCGAUGAAGUUGGAGAGGGAGAUGGCAUAGGGCGUGCCCAGCAGGCCUGGGGGAGCGGUGGGCAGGGCCGUCAGGGGUGGCGAGAAGGGGGCAGGCAGGUCUGUGGGGGCCGAGCCGGGUGUCCCCCCAGAGGUAGACUUGGCCGUUUCUAGACUGGAAAGAGGGAUAGAGAGGGAAGAUGAAGGGGAAGGUCGGGGGUGAGAAAGGAGGCAAUGAGGGCAAAUAUAAGGGGUGAGAUUAGAUGAAAAAUAGAGAGGACUUGAGAACAAUGACCUGGGGUGGGUGUGUUUGAGGAGAAGAUGGGAAAGGUUGGAAGAGCGCGGACGGGAAGAAAGGACAAGUAAAUAUAGCAUUGGGUAAGGGGAGAAAUGGGGAGGCCGAAGACCCAGGGAAAAGAGACAGGGUUGGAGAAACAGGACAUGGGGGACAGAUGUAUGGGGAAGAUGGGGCAACACUGAACAAGUGUGGCAAGGUUAGGGGAGGCAGAGGACAGGCCCAGGAGAAGGGAGGUCAGCUCUCCCCACCCGACCUGUGCCUUUCUCAGGCACAAAAGUCCCAUGACCUGUGAUACCCCACCCCACACUCACCAGGCAGUGAUGAGGUACUGGGCCAGGGCGAUGGACACUGGUGAACCAGUGAUGGUCACGUGCCGCUCACCAGCGCCCUCUGCUUGGUUCCCGAUCUUGAUAUGUGCCCCUGACAUCUGCCGGAUCUCACUGAUCUUGCUGCCCUGGCGCCCAAUCACGCAGCCAAUCAGCUGGAGAGAGGGUGGAAUUCAACCCUAGGUGAGGCCCAGACGCCCCAGGCCCCCCUACCCACCCUCAAACUACCCCAUCCCGUGCUCACGUCGUUGGGAACCAAGAACUCCUGUGAGCUGGUCUGUGUGCCAGGAUCCAGUCCUGCUGGGGGGAGAAGAGGGAUUGGGCGUGAGUCUGGACCUUUGCUGCCUCCCCAUGUCCUUUCCAGAGGGGCUACCUGGCCCCUUGGGAUCUGCCCCUGCUUCCUUCUGCAGGGACUGCUCACCUGGCACCAUGCUGGGUGAGGCGAAGGGGACUGCGUGGCCCGAGAGCUGCUGGAGCUUGGUGACCUGUGCCAAGAAGAAGGGUCAGGAGUCAGAGGAGGCUCAGUUCGGGAAGGGGUGCCUUGGGCUGCGGUCACUCACCUCAGCUGAGGUCACAGCCCCAUACUGACCCUGGACGGAGAAGCCCUGUGGGGACAAAGGCAGCACCUCCAGGAUGACAGCACAGAUCUGGCGCACACACAAGAUGAUGGCAUCAGGCACCCCAGAGACGGUGACAGCACGCUCUGUGGAGUUGGGGAGCAGGUCCCCUGCCACCUGCACCUGGGCACCUGUAGUCUGCAAGCAGAGAACGGGGGCCACUUUCAGCUACUCCCAUAGCCCAGAGCAUGCCUAGGCUCGGAGCUCCCCACAGGACAGGAAGCUGUAAGCCCAGGUCUCCCCUCGAAACUGAAGGCCAUUCUGUGGAGUCAGAGUCCUGUUCCUCCCGGGGAACCACCUGUGGCCCCCAGCCCCUCAGACAGCCACAGACCUCAUCCAGCUUGAAGGCAAUCAUGGAGACUGCAUGGAAGACGGCUGCUGUAGAUCCGGUGAUGGUGGUGAUGCGCUCAGGGCAGGAGCCCUCAGAGAUGGUGAUCCGGGCGCUACUCUGUGGGUGCAAGACAAGCGCCAGGCAACGGGGCUCCUUCUCUGCUUCCUGGCCAAGAACUUGCCUGCCCCUCCACUCACCAGGCCCCAGCCAAGCCUGGAAACAGCCACCUUCUAGGGGCACUCACUGGUCAUCCCAGCUGGUGGAUUCAGGGACAAGGUGAAGCAGGCAUCUCCCCUCCCCUCCAAACCAGAUGCCCUGGGCUCCUCUCCCAAACUCCGUUCUCACCUGUUCCCGGAUUCGCUUUACAGUCUCUCCUUUCUGCAGGAGACAAAAUAGGAGGCAAAAUAGAGAAUGGCUCUUAGGCCAAGCAGCCGUUGAUUCCUUUCCUGGACUGAGGUCUCAGGUUGAAGGGGACAUACAGAACAGAACGAGACCUCCAAUCUCUGUCUCCCCACCCCCCAAAACUCAGAGCAGGAAACUAGCUUG
This is an RNA transcript of Globicephala melas (long-finned pilot whale), 4857 nucleotides long. It is a transcript of the gene named G protein-coupled receptor 62, with no coding region annotated. The record is from RefSeq and is a predicted model, not a curated record. NCBI's taxonomy places the organism in Eukaryota, Metazoa, Chordata, Mammalia, Artiodactyla, Delphinidae.